Long non-coding RNA from Gasterosteus aculeatus aculeatus (three-spined stickleback), 1291 nucleotides. Lineage: Eukaryota; Metazoa; Chordata; Actinopteri; Perciformes; Gasterosteidae. The record is from Ensembl.
GUUUUAACUCCGGCUCGCUUUUGUCUGCGCAACGACAAGCAUAACAGGCCGCACCAAAAACCCAUUCGCCAAAAUGAAACGAGAAAAACGGGCUGAAGCAUGCGCCAGCGAUACGGAAAACAGAGACAUGUAAAGACGUGCGGGGCUGCGUUAGCUAACCAGCUGCAGCUACCGCUGCAUUCAUGGAGAUUCAUCUCCCUGCCGGGAAUCUGAUGGACCCAGAAACGCUGACCCAGGGUCACGGGGUCACUGGAAGAUUAGGACGAUUGAUAAGUACAGACAACUAUGCCCCCCCCCCCGUCCAUCUUCUAGCUCCCAGCUCUCCUCACCCGUCCCUCCAGCUCCACCCUCUCUUCCCACAGUGACCUUUAGUCCACCUAUUGUUCUGUAAGUGGGCCAAGAGGAACCAGCGUUUAUGGAGACGGGGGCCGAGCCGGAGACUUUAGGAUGCCAACCGUAUGUUGCGCGGCAUUAAUCCUAUUGUUUAUUUAAGGAUUAUGGACGAGGACCAUACGCAAUGUGGACUGUUGCAUUACGCCGAUCGCAGUGACGGAGCUGCACCGUAACCUCCUGUUGAUUUUAGCACAUUGUGUCAGUGUCUCCGACCACGUCUCAGAACGUCUGGCGUCCUGCGUAAGUCAUCAGCAUCCGUGAACGAACCGAGGACCCUGAGAACCUCUGAGUCCUGUAAAGUGUCAGAAUUCUUCACAUGCGAAGCUGGAGACGCAAACCAACGGGCGGCUGAUGGAUCGAUUCUCCAAUCAGAUGGUAUCAGAGCGACAGCAUGAAGAACCCCAGGUGGUUUUACUACAACACUGCGUGGAUUCCAUGAUUUGGUUCAUCAUCGUUGUAAUAAUCCAAAGUCUGGGUUUUUAGUCUCCGAGCGGCGGAACGAGUUGAGGAAAGCAGGAAUCUGAGGAAUGUGGGUGGUUAAAGUUCCGCAGAAUCCAGAUAAGUAUCUUUGAAAGGUACGCCCUGACACACACACACACCACACACACACACACACACACACACACACACACACACACACACACAGCAAAGUGAUUCAGCGCCAAGGAACCUCGCGGAGGACGGACGGGAUUCUUCUCACGGGACGCUUGGUGGACCACACUGCCUGUCCACAUCGGGACCCUCGGGCCCCCUGGCGUCCCACCCCUCCCUCCCGCCGUGUCUUUGGGGGUGGGUGGAGACCAGGCGAGGGCCCCCCCCCCCCCCCUCCACUGAGUUGUGUAUUGUCUUGGGGUCUUUUCCUCUUGUUAGCACCCUUGGCCUUUCAGUAUGCCGUGCC